RNAcentral lists this ribosomal RNA (876 nucleotides) under uncultured archaeon. Its description in RNAcentral is "bacterial SSU rRNA". It matches the Rfam family "Archaeal small subunit ribosomal RNA", at positions 1 to 883 of the family's 1478-position model. The record is from RNAcentral.
UUUCCGGUUGAUCCUGCCGGACCUGACUGCUAUCGGAUUGAUACUAAGCCAUGCGAGUCAUUGUAGCAAUACAAGGCAGACGGCUCAGUAACGCGUAGUCAAUCUACCCUAUGGACGGGGAUAACCUCGGGAAACUGAGAAUAAUACCCGACAGAACAUUAUGCCUGGAAUGGUUUAUGUUUUAAAUGAUUUAUCGCCGUAGGAUGGGACUGCGGCCUAUCAGUUUGUUGGUGAGGUAAUGGCCCACCAAGACUAUUACAGGUACGGGCUCUGAGAGGAGUGGCCCGGAGAUGGGUACUGAGACACGGACCCAGGCCCUAUGGGGCGCAGCAGGCGAGAAAGCUUUUCAAUGUGCGAAAGCACGACAAGGUUAAUCCGAGUGGUUUCUGCUAAAGAAACCUUUUGUUAGUCCUAGAACCACUGACGAAUAAGGGGUGGGCAAGUUUUGGUGUCAGCCGCCCCGGUAAAACCAGCACCUCAAGUGGUCAGGAUGAUUAUUGGGCCUAAAGCAUCCGUAGCUUGCUUUGUAAGUUCUCGGUUAAAUCCAUGCGCUUAACGUAUGGGCGGCCGGUAAUACUGCAAAGAUAGGGAGUGGGAGAGGUAGACGGUACUCGGGAGGAAGGGGUAAAAUCCUUUGAUCUAUUGAUGACCACCUGUGGCGAAGGCGGUUUACCAGAACACGUCCGACGGUGAGGGAUGAAAGCUGGGGGAGCAAACCGGAUUAGAUACCCGGGUAGUCCCAGCUGUAAACUAUGCAAACUCAGUGAUGCAUUGGCUUGUGGCCAAUGCAGUGCUGCAGGGAAGCCGUUAAGUUUGCCGCCUGGGAAGUACGUACGCAAGUAUGAAACUUAAAGGAAUUGGCGGGAAGGGCGAAUU